This is a long non-coding RNA of Numida meleagris (helmeted guineafowl), 14282 nucleotides long. RefSeq lists it as uncharacterized. The record is from RefSeq and is a predicted model, not a curated record. NCBI's taxonomy places the organism in Eukaryota, Metazoa, Chordata, Aves, Galliformes, Numididae. The transcript has 8 exons.
CCUCACCAGGACCAGCACGGUUUUCAAAAUUGAACUGAUUGCUUCAAGGAACAGAUCUGUGUUAGAGAUAAUUGGCAAAGCACAAAGCCAUUUCCUACCUGCUCCUAUGGAGCGGCUGCUGCGGGUGAGGGGAAGAGGAAUGUGCUCGGGUGGAAACCAGGAGCCGGUUGCUGCCGGCAGCAGGACUGCCCAAACAGCAUCCAGAGUAGCUUUGCUGGCAGGAAAACUCAAAAGAAGCCUCUGUGAAGCUGAAGUGGCUGAGCCCAUCCGGGCUGAAGGGCUCUUAUCUCACAUUUCUGAGUGGAAGAUGAGAGAGUUCCAUUGCUGUGGGUCUGGCAGUCACGCAGGCUGCCCAGACCUUGUGGACUGCCUAUGCUGGGGCACUGGAAGGUUUUACUCUGUCUGGAUGCUGCUGUGGGAGUGCUAUUGAGGUGGGCAAACUCUGCUUGGUCCCAGUGAGCUUCCAGAGUAAGAUUUCAGCUGAAAGUCAAAGAAACCCAAAGAUAGAAGCAGAAAUACCGUGAGAAAAAAUGAACCCGUAGUUUUCAAGCCGAGUGUGAUACAAGAGAACAAUGUAAUCUCCAAACAGAAAAACUCCAUGGCAAGAUAAGAUGCUCAUCAACAGGACCACCUACUCCUGUCCCAGGCCACAGAGCCAUGCCCUCCUGGUGUACCAGCAUAAAGCUUACCAACCCCAGAGACAACCACCUCCUCAGCCAAUAUUACUACUUCCUCUGCUACGUCAGGAGGAGUCCGUCUUGUUCAAUGAACUUCUCAUGUUGGAGUGGACUGAAGCAGAGCAGAGCCAAUCUGGCGACGUCACCGCAGUUCAUGAAUAAAUGAAGAAUGAACAAACUAACUACUAUUGGCAAGGAAAGAACUUCUAGUAAACAAAAUCCUGUUACAAGUUUCCAUGAGCUCUUGUAAAUAUCACUCUGUGUUUGUCCCUUCAAAAUCAUAUAACACUCUAUUCAAACCUAUCUGCAGAGCCUUUUGAAAAUCCUCCCUGGGAAGGGGCUUUUUAAAUUCAAAGGGCUUCAGACUCUAUUAGGGAUCUGUGCUUCAAAGCCCACAACAGACCCCAGUUCUCUCAACCCUCUGCUGAGCUUCAGGUCUGUGAGAAGCCAUACUGUAGUUAAUGGAAUAGCUCAUUAAUUUACAUGUUAAGGACAAGAUUAAGCAGUUGGUGAGAGGCCCAGCAGCUUGCUUGGGUGCAGACCGUGUACUUGCAAGAAAGAAGCCACCCUGGGCCAUGGUGCCCUCAGCCUUCCUCGCCGCUCUUGCUCCUGAGGCCCUCAAGAAUGAAUGAGGAAGGAAAACCUGGAGGUUUUCAAGGUGGUAAGCCCUGAGUGAGAGUGUAUGCUUCACUCUCACAGUUCAGGAAUGUGAGAUACAAGGGCAGUUUCAGUUUCCCAGUUCUCCCAUUGUUGCUCAUACAUAUCUGAGUGUGAUUUUCACAGCUACGCGCAGGUCUAACAUAGAGUUUGCAGUAUUGUGUCAGCUUGUGCAGAUGAAACAUUGUGAAGAAUUUCCUUGCACUAUAUGAAAGGUUUCAGAGGGUGACCGCUGCAUCCAAACGUUUCACAGCUGACAUUUGUCUCUGAAUAAGCAGAGUUCAAUGAAAAGGCUAAAUGUUCACAAGGAACCUCUUUACUGAGGGGUUAAUGAGGAGUUGAAAGGACUUGCACUCUGGCCUUAGCUGUGUAUGUUUGUCUUUUCUUUUACUUUCAUCUCUCCUCCCUAAAUCCUAGUCUUUUCAUUCUUUUUUUGCUGCUUUUAAUUUGUGUCUCUGUAUUAAACCAAUCAGCCUUCAUUCCUUUCUGCACUUCUUCCUUUCUUUUUUUCUUUCUUCUCUUUCUCUCCUUUCUUCUUUUGUACUGCUUAGGUUCCUGACUUUGACAGAUUGUUAACAACAGAAACCACAGAAGUGUCUAUUGCUUGAACGCACUCAUGGCCUUUCUUGCUAACACACAAUGAUUAUUAGUGAUAACAUUACACAGCAAACGGUGUAAUUGACUCAGAAGGAAAAUUCUGUUUUUGUUUGAAGAGGUAAAGGUAUAACUUUACAGGGUUUAACUCAGUCUUUUUUUUUCAUCUGCAACACAUGGCUUGAUGAAAUAUAGUAUUUGCCUGUUUUAAAGCAUUUUCUUUCCCCCUUUAAAAGUAAUAAACUCAGAAAGACGUAUUAUGUCUCAUAAUAAAGAGAAAGAUUGCAUAUUGUUAUCCAAAGAGUGCUAUGCAUCCAAAUAACAAUUUAUUUGAUGUUACUGAACAUACACUACCUGCUAUGCUCAGCAAUGUAUAGUAUAAAUAAAAAUGAGCCUGUUAGAAUACUAUUUUUCUCUACUUUUCCACACGCACACAAAAAGAAAAACAGCCUAAAAACUCAUGCAGGCAAAGUGAAACCAUUCUAACAUGCAGGAAAGAGGUUUGUAAAAAGGCUUUGAAUUGAAAACCCAACUUUGAAGCAUAAUUCGAGUUUAUAAAUGCAAUUUAUAAACAUAUAAAUGUAAUUGCGUCUAGCUUCAGUGAAGCCAAUCCCAAAGCUCUUGAGUUAUCUGCCAAUCCCUAUUUUAUAAAGGCAACAUUUCUCCUCCUUUAGCCUAAGAAAAAUGUGCAUCAAAAGUAACUGUGAAAUAUCUAGGAAAUAAUAAAGUAUUGUUUCAUCACAUAAAAAGUUUUGUAGGACAAUGUGGUUAAUAAGGCAUAGCCCUAACAUGGGUUUGUGGAUAACUAGGUGAGUUAACUCAUCAGAUUGAAUGGUCUGGAUUCCCAGUAUAGAUCUGUUAUCCUAGUUUCCAUCGUUCCUUAUACAGUUUUAAUUUCUACAGGCUAUAUUUACAGUAUACAUUUAUCAAUGUAAAGGAAUAUUCACAGGCCAUGCAAGUCAAUAUUCUGUAGUUUUAAACAAUAAGAUAAUUUUCCGGCAUAUUUCUGGCCCAUGUCAGCAGUUUCUUAAAUUUUCCCUAGGCAUGGUUCUGAGAUUAGCACAUGGUGGGAGCCAUUCCCAGUAGGCAGGCACCCUGUUUGAGCACCAGUAGCUUAAUCUGAAGUGUAGCAUUUAAUCAUUGGGAGAGAAAGAACCCUUGUGGCAAAGGAAAAGGGUCAUAAACUGUGUGCCUUUCAAACAUUUAAUGAUUUUUAGUGUAUGCUGAAAUGUAGGAACAUAGACCCUUUGCAUAUCAAGACUUGCAUUCCUGCAGAGAUGUCCUCCAAAAUUUUGGGCUUGUAGAACUUUCCUACCUCCUAAUACCUUAAUGCCCAGAUGUUCUGGAAUGUGAUAAUACACAUACACACCAGACAGGAAAGGCACGUACAUUUGCAACCAGUUUGUUGUCCAUCAGAACUGGGCAGACUCUGGAGCUGCUGUGCCUGAUGGCAUUGUCAUCAUCAAGAAAUUAAUAAACAUGCCUAAAGAAAUCCCUAAGGUAACUAAUUUAUUUGGAUUAACCAAUGCCUUUAGAUUAAAUACACUUUUAUUUAUAUACCUUUAAUCUAAAGGCAUUUUGUACUAAUCCUGCAGAAUUUUUCAAAGCAUUUUUGCUUGCUCACCUAUCUACACUCUGCUUUGAUUGGAUUAAGCCUUGGAAAGCUCUGUUUGAGCACAAGCUGAUCUCAUCCAAGAUCUGGAAAACACCAGUGGAAGAGACACCAAUAUGUUGAAGGUAAUGCUGUAUCUUCUGUUUAAAGAUCACUUCAGUGGUCUUUAAACACUUGUCCUCACUAUGAGUGUCCUUUUUGCCAGUCUCUGGAUAUGGUUGACACUAUCCUGGCAAUCACGUCUCUUAAGUCUAGUAACUUUAUUGCCUUAAAGACCUGAUGCCAUUUUGCUGCUACAGGCCUGUUAUCUGAUUGUGGUUGUCCUAAUUUUCUGCACCGGAAAAAGAGGAUUCCCUACAAUCCUGUGCUGCAAUAUUGUAAUAACAAACUCUAAUGACAGAUGUAGUAAAUAAAAUACUGAUGUGACCCAAGUAAUCAAUGUAUGGACAAAGGUGAUCAUUAUUUUCCCUAGGAUUAUAUAUCUGUAGUGCAGAAAUCUGUAUCUGAGAUAGUCACAAAAAAAGAAAAUCCUUAUAGACUUGUGCAUAAAGCAGUUCUUCUGAUCUGUUUGUUGGUUUUAUUUUCCUUUAUUUCUUUUUUUUUCUAAAACUCUUCCAAACUCCGUCUCCACCUAGACAAUGUUUUCAACCCUAUAUAAAGAAAAGAUAUUCCAGAGAUUUACACAACGAUUAAAUAUGGAAAACAUAUGCCCAUUCAUUUUAUCUUUUUAACAUCUUUGUAGGCUUUUAAAAUCCUUCAUACAUGAUAAAAAGUAUUGGUAUUCUGCACAAUUGCAGAUGAAAAUUAAGUUACCGCAAAUGUUUGCAUUAUAUAUACAUGUGUGCACACACAUAUCCAUGUGUUCAUCCAAGUAAUCUCAGAACAUGUGCUUUGAGCAUUGUGUAUACAUAUAUUGAAAAUUCUUAGGAGAACACUGAGUGCUUAAAGGUUUAUGACUGUGCACUGAUAUUAAAUUUUUACAUGUCUGCAUGUACACUUGCAUUUGCAAAAUCUUGAUCCAAUCAUAAUACUACCUGUUUUACAACGAAAGAGUAAUCAGUGUUGAAACACCUGAAGGUGGCUUUUUUUAAUACUCCAUUUUUCAACAAGUUAUAUUUCAUUGAGGGCAAAGUUUCAUUCUGUUACGUGUUUUGAAAAAGAAUUUGUUCACUUUCACAAAUCACAGCUCUGAUUGCACUGGGCAACUGUUUGGAAAGGAAAAACAUUCAUAGAAUGAGCUCUGCCAAACCACAGAGCUAGAGAUUCUAGGUACAUCCAAUAACAUGGAUAUCUCUCAGAUAAACAGUAAAUGUCUACAGAAAAAGAUCGCUUGAUAGAGCAAGAGGAUAGGGAAUGUCUUAAGGGAUAGUGUUUGAGACAGCUCCAUUUCUGGUGAUAUUGUCUAUAUAAUAAAGAAAAUCAUUUUUUAAAUUUAUUUUUGACAGUCUGUGAGUUUGGGCCUUGCAAAUGACAUUUAAAGCAAAAAUUUGAAAGGAAAUAGUUUAUCUUGCCUUGGGUUUUUUGUUUGUUUGUUUGUUUGUUUGUUUUGAGGGAGAGUGUUUGGGUUUGGUUUGGGAUUUUUUUUUCCUUGCAAAGUUAAGGCCUGCUUUACAGAGAACCACCAAGAAAAAUGGAGUCAUUGUUAGCUGAUUUCAUACCUAUGCAGUCCGGCUUAGAAGUCCUGCCACCAACGACGUGUGCCAUAUGAACAAAAUCUGGGAUUAAUUAAGUGAGAGUGAACUCCUAACCCAUUUGAACUGUCAUGCUGAAGGUCUGGCACAAAGGAUCCGGGAGUUUACAAAGACUAAUCACCAUUGCAGGGUCCUAUGGGCUACUCUUCACACAAGUGCCUCUGUAGUAAAAUGAGGCUUCAAAGUGACUGUUGCACACUGAGAACCACAAAGACUGAGACAAGGGGAUGCUUAUUGGACACUGACUUUCUUUUGUUCAAAUACAAGGCUUUGCUUUCUUUAUAAAAGAAUAAAAUGACCUUAGCUUUAAUGUCAUCUAUCUAAUCACAGCUUCAUAGUCACUGAUGUCCAGUGAGAAUAUAAGCUAGACAGGACAGAUAGCUACUCCUUGUUUAGGAAAAUUAACCAUUCCUUGUUUAAGAUCCCAGUUAAUAUUGUUUCAUACACCACCAGAUAUUAGUAUCUGAGGCUAAUUUUUCCAUGCAGCGUAUCUGUUGCUAUCUGAUUAUUAUGACAUCAAAAUUUAGGAAGGUUUCUCAGUUAGGUCACUUAGAGAUCUCAGCAAUACAAUGAGCUCAAUAUAAGGACCAAAAGAAAAUUUCCUGUAAUUCCAGAAUUCAAACAGUUGCAGAAUGGUCUUGGGCACAGACCUUGAACCAAAAAGCAAGGUUCACACUUCAAGGUCUACUUCACGUAUAGAGUCCUUGCAUGAUCUACAACUUCUGUCAGCUUUCUGGGAACUUGUUUUGGGCUGUGCUAUAGUAAUUCCAAGCUUGCUGGUGUCCUGUGUGUCAUAUACUGUGAAACAAUGCAGUUUCCAAAGGAAUUUUUUAGUUUUGCUUUGUGAAAUAUUGGGAAGUUGCGCAUAUUAAAGCAAAAAUAAAAUAAUGUUUACAAUAAAGUUAUCAAGAUAGUGAAGCCAAACUCUUAGAAACACAGUUAACUAAUGUUUCAGAAAAGUGAGAUAACUAUAAAGUCCUAGAACAAUUUCUUCAAAGGGUUUCUGUUUUUCUUCUGCCAAAUUUUGUGACAACACUGAGCAUUCUGAAUGAAAGUAUCCCACUUUUAUCUCCAGUUUCCAUUUGGACUGUUGCUUUGUUAUUAUUUUUUUUUAAUUACUUCUGUUACAGCUACAUAUAAGGCUUCUCAUCAAGAUCUGAAUCCCAUUUUAUUUGUUGUAUCUGUGUGUGGAUACAGUUAAUACACCAAAGAGUUUUCUGCAAGAAUCCCGAUAGAGAUCUACCCAACAACCCAUUAAGAUAAAUGUAAAGAGAAAGGAGCACCAGAAUUUAGACCACUUAAAAUGUCUUCAGAAGUGAGAAUUCAUCAGAAGAUGGCAUUACAUCAAUCAGAAAACACUCCGUGGUUGUGUAUUUUUUUCAAAAGCCUUUUUUUCAGAAGAAAUUACAUGUCUUUGUGGAAGGAGAAGGUCCUUACUGAAAGGUUUUCAGUAUUCAAGGAUAUUGAAAAAUGAAUAGAAAUGCAGGCUUCUUCAUAUAUGUAUCAGACAGAAAUAAUCCCUGUAACACGUCUGAUCUCUGUUCUACAGAAUUCAGACAAGGAAAAGACAAGCAAAAAGAAAACCUUCAAGUGCUAAAACAGUUCAUCCUGUUUUCAGUAGUGCAACCAAGCACAAAAGUUUAGACAACAGCAGAGCUGGAAAGAUCAAAGGGAAAGCAAGAACAGAACUGAAAACAGCAGGCCCCUUGCUUUCACAUCCUACACUUGGUUUUCUGGCUAGACAUCCCUGGUCAGCCUUGGCUGUGCCAGCUGAGGACAUAGUCAUGGCCAGCCCACUUCCAUCAUUUUGCUACUAUGCCCUUGGGCAAGGUCGCUCCUUUCCUUAGAUCCUUUGUCUCAGACAGACAACAGGCUAAGAACAGUCCCUUUUAGUUAAAAUAGGCUCUUUACGAAAGGAUUUAUUGUUGAUAUUCAUUAGGCAAGCAGAGCUCUUCAUGGCCAUACAGGACAAGGAAGAACCAUGAGAAGACUGAGGCCCAACACACAAGAGAGCCAAUGACCACCAGUGGUGGGACAGAGAGAGAGUAUUGGUGUAUCAGAUUUAUGUAGCAAGAUUUUAGAGGGCUGUAGGUGUAGCCUCCGUGAGGAGACCAGAAGCUGCCCCAUGUCAGAUCAGAGUCAGUUACAGUUGGCUCCAAAAAGGACCUGUCACUAUCCAGGGCUGAGCUAAAGCUGGUUGUGCCACUGGAGAGCAGAUUUAAGAAAGGGAAAAACUGCUGCACAGCAGCAGCUGGCAGAAAGGAGUGAAAAAAUAUGAGCAAAACAGCUGUAAAGACAUCAAGGCCAGUGCAGAAGGAGGACAGGAGGUGCUCCAGGUGUGGAGCAGAAUCUCCCUGCAGCCCAGGAGAGGCCCAUGGUGGAGCAGGCUGUCCCCCUGCAGCCCAUGGGCACCACACAGAGCAGAUCUCCAAGUGCAGCCAUGGAAGAGCUCAUGGUGCUGCUGUGGAUGAGGCCUGGAGGAGGUAUAGUUCAUGGAGAGCCCCUGCAGGAGCAGCCCCAGGCCGGAGCUGCAGCCCGUGGACAGCUGCUCCCCAUGGGGAUCUGUGCAGGAGCACUUCCUGAAGAACGGAUCCUGUGGUACGGAUCCAUGUUGGAGCAGGGCUUGGAAGAGCUGCAGCCUAUGGGAAGCCCAUGUGGGAUCAGUUCAGGGAGGACAGCGUCCUGUAGGAGGGAGCCCACAUCGAGCAGUAGAGGAAAAGCGUAAUGGACUGACCACAGCCCCCAUUCUCCAUCCCCCUGCACCAAUCAGGGGGAGAAAGUGAAAGAGUGUGGAAAAGAGUGUGUUUCCUUUGCCUAUGAUGGUGAUUGGUGAGUGAGUGGUGUGUUGGCUGUUCAAACAAGCCCAUGUGGGUGUGAGACAUUCACUAAUGAGACACAAGCUGUCUCACCAGCUCAUUCAGGGUGGUGGUGGUCCCCAGCAGGAUGAGAGGUGAAACCAGAGCAGGUGGUUCCUGGGUUGGCAGAAAAGUGUGCAGGGUGUGUGCCUAUAUCCAGCUUCAGUAUAACAGUUUCCUGGAAGGUAAAAUUCUCAGUCUCCAAAGAUAUGCUUGCUGCUCACCCAUAAGUAUACAGUCUUCUGCUUUGCACUUUUAACAAGUAUUUUCCUCUAUUGCCAAUAAUUGAGUGGUCUAUCAGAAGCAAUGAGGAGUGUGGGACUCAGAUUGCUGGCCAAAUAUACUUUUGCCUUGUGUAGUGUGUGUUCAUUGAUAAAUUCAUCAUUUUGGGACACUUUGGGUUCCAGAGAGUUAAUGCUGUAAAAGUCUUUUAGAAAAAAUGGACUGAGGUGAUUGAGAAGGUAUCGGGCUACACGCAGCAAUCCUCAGUACAACGGCUGACGGCGGUAUUUAUUUUCAUUUGAUAAACAGCGAGAGCAGGGCCUGCCCCAGACUUCUCUCACUCCAUUCAGAAAGCAAUGUUUAUGAACAGCUGCAGGGAGUUACUCACAAGAGGCUUAAACAGGGAGGGGGAAGAAAGGCCAUUCCUCCGGGCCCACCCAGCCACUGGAUUUUUCAGCUGAAGGGCAGAGUCAAUUUUAUCCCAACCGGCCGGUGAAAAUUGAGCCCAAACAACUGUUGGGAUCACAAAAACUGGAGAGAGAGAAAAGAUGGUGAUAAAUGCAACAGCAAGUCAUACCCUUAGAGCUGCCCAACGUGCCUCUGUCAAGGAGAUAAUGGUGGGUUUGGGGCUAACAUGAGGAAAAAAGAAAAGGUCACUCAGAGACAUAAGAAAGAUAUUUGGGAAAAUGUUUAAAGGGCUUCUUAGUACACCAGUAUCUCUACAUGUUUCACUGGAGAUGCUGAUUAUUUGGAAAAGUAAUUUCACCCAUUUCCCCUUUUGUGGUGCAGGUGAAGGGAUAAAAACUUCUCCUAAAACAGGAAUUUCUGCCUUUUAAGACUCAGUGAUUUAUUUCAAUGUCUUAUUGGUACACAGCUUUUGAAUUUCUUAGAUACACUUUAGCAUCAUACUACUGUUGGUAUGCUGGUGGGAUUUGGAGAGGGAAAAGGAGGGAUUUUUCUCAGUCUCAUAGUGAAAAUGGAGCCAAAUCCCAGAUUAUUCUCAACCUCUUGCCGACAUAAAGUACUGGUUCUCCUGUUAUAGAAAUGGAGCAACACCGCUCUCCUCCAGAUACUGCAGUGUGUGCUCUGAUGAAGAUGUGAAGUCAUUAAAUUUAAGGAAUUCUCUCUUAUCUAACGUUUUUCACAGAUUUUAGUGGAAAUUCUGGCCUUUUUUUAGCAGAGAUUUUAGCAGAAAUUCUAUACUGCCUACUUACACAAUUAUGCACCAUAAAUCUGUGGUAAUUUAUGAAGAUUUUUCACAUAUAAUUCAAACCAGUUUCUCUUGCAUUCUGGGGAAAUUCAAAUGUCUUAUCCAUCAGUACUGUGAAACUGGAAUUCAACUGUUCAGAUUAAAUCUAUGUUCCAUAACAUAGAUUUUGUUUAUGAUUUCUUAUUAAAUACAGAUAGUCUUUUACUUAAGAAUUUAUGUUCGUUAGAUUUUCAAGUUCAUCAACUUCAUCAAAGCUACUAAUCAGGAAAAUAGUUCCUGUUUUAUCCUUAAUUCUUUGAGAAUUAACAUAAAUCUGACAACUGUUUAAAAUAUUAAUGGUUUCUGCUCUUCAGUACGUGGAGCCUGCACACACAGACAACACAACUUCCAAAUGCUUUUAGCAGUGAUUUGCCUAAACUCUUUGCAUAUGUUGUGGCUUAACCCUGGCAGACAGCUCAGCAUCACACAGCGGCUCACUAACUCUCCCUAGGUGGCAUGGAGGAGAGAAUCAGAAAGGUAAAAAUGAAAGAACUCAUGGGUUGAGAUAAAGACAGUUUACUAGGUAAACCUGUGUGCACAAGUAGAGCAAAGCAAAGAAUUAAUUUGCUAAUUUCCAUUAUCAGGCAGAUGUUCAGCCACUUCUUCCAGGAAAGCAGGGCUUAUCACGUGAAGUGAUUUCUUGGGAAGACAAAUGACAUCGCUCCAAAUAUCCCCACUUCAUCCUUUUUUACCCUGGCUUUUGUUGCUGAGCAUGAUGUCAUGGCACAGAAUACAUCCUGGCUGUGUCCCCUCCCAGCUCCUGGUGCAGCCCCAGCCCACCUAGAGGCAGGACAGCACAUGAAGCUGAAAAGUCCUUGAGGCUAUGCAGGCACUGCUCUGUAACACACCAGUGUUUUAUCACCGCUAUUUUCAACGAAACUCCAAAACAUGGCAUCAUAUAAUCCUCUGUGAAGAAAAUAACUCAAUCCCAGUCAAAACUAUGACAGAAUAUCAGUGUAAAAACAGUUACCAUUAAUUUGUUUCAGUGUUAAAACUGUCUUGAUAAUUGCACAUAACGCAUUUCAUCACAGAAGUCAAGAAAAACAUUGACUAACAAGACUUAGAACAUCUGUGAAAUAAUUGAUUUCAAAUCUGUUUUAUCUGUUAUAAUAAACUCAAAUCUGCAGUGGGCCUGUAGGUGUUCAGUUCUUCUGCUGCUGAGUUACAUCGUUAUGUGCCAAAAGCAUAGAUGAGAUAAAAAUAUGGAAAAAGUGCUCAUAACCAUGCAAUAAAUGUAAGCUGUUACGUCAGCUUAAUCUUACUGGUGCUGGUUCAGUGACAUACUCUGCCAAGGAAGGUAAUGAAUAUUAAGGACAAAUGUCUACCAAUACUCAUAUUUGCUGUUCACUUUGACCCCAAUCGUGGGAGAAGGCACAAUGACAAAACAUCUCAAAGAGGACUCUCCAUAGUGUUUCUGUUACUGAUUUAUCUUGUCUGGUACUCUGUCUCCAGGGAUGGUAAGUCUCUGAGACUUCAGAGACUUCAGAAGACUUGAGACAUUAACAUGAAAAACAUUGCUGAGAGCAAUUAGGAGCUCUUUUUUUCUUUUCUAGAACCAAAAGGGAACAAAAAAAUGGAGAAACGGGCUUGCAGGAUUCAAUAUAAAAAUAGACAGAACCAAAAAAUGGUAGUCUCUAUAUGAUAGUUAUUACAGUAGCUUUUUUUUAACAAUACCACUAUUAAGCCACUGGUAUGAAUAAAGCACUGAGAUUGUCACUUUGCUGUCAUGGCUGGCCAGUAAAGCUAAAUUUUAGUCAGGCUCUUGAAUCAGAGUAACAUAAAGUAUGUCCAUAAAUGUUUCCCCAAGGCAGCUCAUAAAUAAAUACCUGGCAGCACCACUUCAGUAUCAUUCAGUACCCUUCAAUCUGCAGCAUUUGUACUUCUCAAGAUAACUCUUCAUUUAAAAAAAUAAUCUUUCAAAACUGUGAGAAAAUUUGCUUAUGAGUAGAUCCAAGAAUACGUUCCCAAAGAAAGCCACAAUCCUAUGCUCUCACAUAAAUCUCCCCUUUGUAUUUAAGGCUGCAAUUUUCUUCCUUUAGAUACUGCAUGUUUUUACCAUGCCCUUGGAUGAAUUUUUUAGUAAGUCUACUAAUGGCAAAGCCAGUUUUGAUCAGGGCUGAUGACAUGUUUUCCAUCUGUCUAAAGCAACUUCCUCCUGUAACAUGCUGAAUCUCAUGUAAGGUGUAACUAAAUUGCAAAUGAUCUUUUCCCUAGGGAUGCAUACGCUAUCAUGAGUCCGGAGUUUCUAGCCAGCAGAAGCAAGAGACAUACAUCACAAGGAAGAGCAGCUUUCAGGUUUCUUCACAAACUGCCCCAUGAAUGAGUUUAAGGUUUUUCAGGAAGAAUUGUGUGGAGAUGCAGACACAGCCUCCGUACCCAUUCUGGCCUACAUUUUGCCUAUGGCUCUCUGCUUUGUCAUUCAAAGUAGCUGUAAACACAGAGUGGGCUAUCCCCACCUGCCUUCACUCUUUGUGGCUGUUUUAUUGGCAUCUUACUGGAAGUUGGCUGACAGUUGCUUGGCCACAGGUGUGUUCUUACCAGACAGGUGUGCUUGAGCAUGGGGGCCCUGCAUGCUUUGGACCAUAUGCUUCAGGUGCCAGAUUUGCACGAGUAUGAUCUAGGUGGACAGGCAGAUUGGUCUUGAGGCAGUGUGGAUGUGCCAUGGUGCUGUCAAGGGUGAACUGGUAAACAGAAGCUCCAUGUAAAAUGACGGACUUUGGCUGCAUGCCCCUGACGCCCAAGGAGCCCUGUAGGGAAAUGACCUAAGCGUGACCUGGUCCUCCACCCCUUUGCCUUGGUUUACACAAGGAGGAACACAAGUGUUCAGGCAAGAUGGAAACAACAGGACAUUUGCCAAGGCCUUAGACAGCCACGGACAAGAGACUGGGGACAAACUGGUGGGGCUUAGCUGAAACACAGCCAGUGCUCACCUGCUUCUAAUGUGCAGAAAGGCCAGUUUUGCCACUCCUCACUGCCCAACACAAAAGAUCAAACCAGCAGCUUAAGUCACUUUUAAAACAUUGAUUUACUUCACUGGCAGCAGUCUGCACUGUGAAGCAAGGUGUGACUGCUUGUGCCCAAGGCACCUUUAAUUACACAGAUUCAGGAAACCAGAACAGUGUGGGUAUGCCUCUCUAGCUUAAUUAUGGGCUGUGCAUUGGGAAGGCACAUAGUUCCUUCAGCUCAGCUAGAUGUGGGUUCCAGCUCCCAGAAGCACCUGGGAGAUUUUCAAUGAUAAUUCAAAUUGCAUAAGAUUCUACUGAUGAGAAAGAAAGUUUUCCUAAUAUAUUUUUUAAAUCAUGCACACAAAAAGAAACAAACUGCUGGAUAUCCACAAUAUUCAGCAAGUGAAGUGAUUUUUUAGCCUCUCUGGAAAUCCAUUCUAAUCAAAAUUAUGUAACUCAAGUCCAAGUACAUUGGAGAAGAUUCAUUAGACCAAGGACAGUAAAAAAUUGGAAAGUCUAGAGCAGCCUCUGUCACAAAAGAGGGAUGUUUCUGGGUACUCUGGGAAUGCAAGGAAGACUUGCCUUAAAGGUAAAGCCCACUGAAGUCAGUGGAACUGUCUGAACAUAUAAUGUCUGAAAAUAUUGCCUGUAAUGUCUCUUCUGAUUAUUUUCCCUUUGUUUUUGGCCAGCUGUUCACAAAGGUAUUGCUCUGGGAUAUAACCAGCUAAGACUGAUGUUGAAGGAGAAAAGGAAAUAUCCCCAAGGUAGAUUUUAAAGCUGCCUGAUAGACAAAGAUACAGUUCUUUGAUUUAUACACUAUGAAAUGCCUCUGAAUUAACCUAAUUAAUCAAUUAGGACCUAAAAAAAUAAUCCCACCACUGUAUUUGAUUUCAUCAUCUCAGUUCUCAUAGAAAAGUACUAUUAUUCUAUGUACUGAAGAUAAUAGGUUAUAUGUCUGAAACAGAGUGCAGAAAAAGGUCCUCCCUGACACUGUGUGUGAUAUAAUUAGCUUUCUUCAUGUGUUACUCUUGCCAACAAAUUUUAUACUUUAGACAAAAUAGUUAAGUUUUUCCCCAGUAUCCUUUCAAGAACUAAUGAGUUUUCUCAGAUACGCUGUACUGUGCUUCAAAGUCACUUUCUCAUGUCAAAUUACUUCUGGACUGUAACUUUUUUUGCCUUCAACAGCAAUACACUUCCCACAUGAAUUGUUCAUAUCUGUUAGUUUUAUAAUCAGAUUGUUUGUAAUAUUUAUACAUUUUCGUUAACGUCAGAACUCUUAACUGGUGCAUCAGUACAUCUGUAAUGUUUGGGAGUGCCCUGAAUGCAUCAAAAUUGUCAACACCAGCCGUCUGUAGUUCUAGACUGACGAUUUCCACAUGGACUGGAAAGAAAUACAGUCACAGAUUUAAUACUUUAAAGUUUGGGAGGUUACCAAGUUGUCCAGAUGUAUUUCUCUUGCUGCUGGAAUCCCAUGUUGCUUUACGUGAAUGCAGGAUUCCCUCCUAAAAGUAAUUACAAGUGUUUGUGUUCAGCAAUGUCAGGAGGAAAUAAGGAAAUAAUGCUAGAGAAGUUCACGGCAAUCGGCCCUUCGUUCCAGAGUCCUCACACACAGCGUAGGGAGGGACUUCUUUAUGACUGCAUCAAGAGUCUUACCAGACUCAAUAGAUAUCAAAAGAUGAAAAAUACAUUCAUAUCUUUCUUUGUUUUUUUGUUCUGUGCCCAACCAUAACUGUCCAUGGAGAGCAAGUCUAAGUGAAUAAACGGUUCCCACAGUGGUUAA